Molecule: long non-coding RNA, 1971 nt
Filed under: Homo sapiens (human)
Lineage: Eukaryota; Metazoa; Chordata; Mammalia; Primates; Hominidae
Description: HSALNT0326549
Source: RNAcentral
CUCUGAAUGGAAAAUGGAAUGGGAAGAAGGGAAACAUGUUACUCUUAGGACCCAGGUUUUGAAAACUCUAAUAAACAAGUUUAUUAAUUGUAUAAUAUAUGCAUUGUUUCAUAUCUGGCAACUGCACAAUUUAUACUCGGAUUUUUGAGACAGUUUGGGAAUAGUUUAUCCUGUUAUUAUCUUCAGGAGUCUAUAGUCCUCCUACAGGAAAUUGUAUCAAAAUUAAAGAAGACUGAGUUAAUUUAUUGUACUGCCAGGAAUUGUGCUGAGAGUGUGAAUUGAAGGACAAAAGACACAUUUUGUGGCUUUGAAAAUUUCAGAUGGAGAUACUGGGGGAACAGGGCUUCCCUGAAGCCCUAACAGUGGCAUGGGUAUUCUGGCUGCCUUUGGAGCAUCAGAGAACUGGGGCUCACUUAUCAUUAUACAAACUGUCUACUGAAGAAGUUCCUCUACCAUUUCUCAUUCAUUGCAUUUUCAAGUGUAAUGCUAGGUGACUGGAAAAGUGGAAAACUCCAAGGAGGAAAACGAGAUACCGUCCAGUGUUUAAGAGGAAUGAUUGAUGCUGACAAAUUUGGAAUAAAAAUUUUAAAUAAAUAAUCUGGAUGUUUUCUAAGGCAAGCUGUUGAUUUUAUCACUUCCCAUUGCCAAGACACACAUCGGUGCCUGUUAAAUUUGACGUUUUUACUCUGAUCGUCAGUGGCAGCUUUAAAGCAUCUGUAGCAUCCCAGGAUCAAGCAACAAAUCAACUCCACGAAGGGCUGUGAAACCAUAUCUGCCCGUUUCCUUUCCCGAGAGCCUCUCUCUAGUGGCAAGCCAGUAGCUAAUCUACACCGGAGAAGUUACGACCCUUGUCUUUUGCAGUUAAUGGCAGCCUGUUUGUUUUCUGCACCUCUCUUUUCCUUUUGGGGAACACAGGGCUGAAAGGUAACAAGAUCCAACAGGGCUCUAAUCAUUAUAUAAACUGUCUACUGAAGAGGUCCCUCUACCUCCACCAAAUUUCUCAUUAGGUGGCCACAGUUGAGAGCCAACAGUCUCUGGCAACAAUUUUGAAUAACUAUUCAUAUUAAAGAGGCUUUUUACAAAAGGGAUAAACUUUUAAGAAGAACUUGGGUCAUGGUGUUUGAAAGAAAUGAUAUGUUUAUUAUUGUUUAGCGAUGCUGGUAAUAUUGACUAUACUUUGCUCUUUCCCUCCCACAGUCCUGAUACUUCUUUACAUCUUGAAUUUCUGAUAUUUUAAAUAUAAUUAGGCUUUGAAUAUGUAAGUACAUAAUUGGAAUUGGAAUUGAAUCAGAAACUUGUGUUGAUGCUCCAGUUAUAUAUUCCUAUGCAUUAUAUUACAGGGACUAGUGAAUGAUGGCCCAAAUGCCAAUCUGAGGCUUGCAUCUUGUACUUCUUUGAUAUUUUUAAUAUAUUUAGGCUUUGAGUAUGUAGCACACAAUGAAUUGGAAACUUAUGUUUAUGAUCUAGUUAUGUAUUCCUAUGUAUUACAGGGACCAUUGACUGAUGUCCUAAACACCAUUCUGAAGCUCUAAUAGUGUCUAGUGUAAACUGUGAAAUAUUGAUACACUUCCUCUUACAAUGAGUGACAUUAUUUGAUCCCUAACCAUGGACAUCAUUGUGGAAAUUCACCUCCACCCCAUCCUCACCUCAUCAAGUCCCUAGCAUUCCAACACUAUAAUGUCUACUUCUGCAGCUGAUAUUCUGAUUUCUAGAAUGUGUUUGUCAAAUAUUAUAUCUGUUGUCAGCUUUCCUUGUGAUGUGUGUUGUUUUUUAAAAGACUGAAACUGCACUGGAUUUAUGGGAAAGUAAGAUGAAGCGUGUCCCUGGCUAUGGUGAUGAGCUUGCAACAAGGACAGCUAAAACGAUGGUGUUUUUAAAGAGGAAAUAUUAGCCUUGGCAUAUUGCAGGAAAGAACCCACAUCUACAGUCUGUUCCUUCUGUGGUUAGUGACAGGUAUAUGCCACUCCUACA